RNAcentral lists this ribosomal RNA (1350 nucleotides) under metagenome. RNAcentral describes it as "bacterial LSU rRNA". It matches the Rfam family "Bacterial large subunit ribosomal RNA", at positions 1563 to 2925 of the family's 2925-position model. The record is from RNAcentral.
GGUUUGGGAGGGGUUUACGAACUCCGCAUGGUGAAGGAAAGUGCCAAGAAAAGCUGGUAAUGUGAUGAAAGCAUCAUACCCGUACCCGAAACCGACACAGGUAGGGAGGUUGAGAAUACCAAGGGGCGCGAGAUAACUCUCUCUAAGGAACUCGGCAAAAUGGCCCCGUAACUUCGGAAGAAGGGGUGCCCACGAGAGUGGGUCGCAGUGAAGAGAUCCAGGCGACUGUUUACCAAAAACACAGGUCUCCGCUAACUCGAAAGAGGACGUAUGGGGGCUGACGCCUGCCCAGUGCCGGAAGGUUAAGGAAGUUGGUCAGGGGUUCGCCCUGAAGCUGACGACCGAAGCCCCGGUGAACGGCGGCCGUAACUAUAACGGUCCUAAGGUAGCGAAAUUCCUUGUCGGGUAAGUUCCGACCCGCACGAAAGGCGUAACGAUCUGGAUGGUGUCUCAGAGAGAGACUCGGCGAAAUAGGAAUGUCUGUGAAGAUACGGACUGCCUGCACCUGGACAGAAAGACCCUAUGAAGCUUUACUGUAGCCUGGAAUUGUGUUCGGGCUUGGCUUGCGCAGGAUAGGUGGGAAGCACAGAAGUACCCCUUGUGGGGGGUAUGGAGCUAACGGUGAGAUACCACUCUGGCGAAGCUAGAAUUCUAACCUAGCACCCUCAGCGGGUGUAGGAACAGUUUCAGGUGGGCAGUUUGACUGGGGCGGUCGCCUCCUAAAAGGUAACGGAGGCGCGCAAAGGUUCUCUCAGCACGCUUGGAAACCGUGCGGCGAGUGUAAAGGCAUAAAGAGAGCUUGACUGCAAGAGUGACAACUCAAGCAGGGACGAAAGUCGGCCUUAGUGAUCCGACGGCACAGAAUGGAAUGGCCGUCGCUCAACGGAUAAAAGUUACUCCAGGGAUAACAGGCUGAUCUCCCCCAAGAGUCCACAUCGACGGGGAGGUUUGGCACCUCGAUGUCGGCUCAUCGCAACCUGGGGCGGAAGUACGUCCCAAGGGUUGGGCUGUUCGCCCAUUAAAGCGGUACGUGAGCUGGUUUCAGAACGUCGUGAGACAGUUCGGUCCAUAUCCGGUGCAGGCGUAAGAGCAUUGAGAGGAGCCUUCCUUAGUACGAGAGGACCGGGAAGGACGCACCGCUGGUGUACCAGUUAUUCCACCAGGAGUAGACGCUGGGUAGCUAAGUGCGGAGCGGAUAACCGCUGAAAGCAUCUAAGUGGGAAGCCCACCUCAAGAUGAGUGCUCUCACUACUUAAGUAGGUAAGGUCACGGGCAGAACACCCGUUUAUAGGCUCUAAGUGGAAGUACAGCAAUGUAUGUAGCUGAGGAGUCCUAACAGACCGAGGGCUU